Molecule: ribosomal RNA, 258 nt
Filed under: uncultured bacterium
Lineage: Bacteria
Description: partial 16S ribosomal RNA
Rfam family: Bacterial small subunit ribosomal RNA
Source: RNAcentral
GGGUACGAGAGGGCCGCUACCACGCGAGUGGAUGCCAAUCCCUAAAACCUCUCUCAGUUCGGAUCGAAGUCUGCAACCCGACUUCGUGAAGCUGGAUUCGCUAGUAAUCGCGCAUCAGCCAUGGCGCGGUGAAUACGUUCCCGGGCCUUGUACACACCGCCCGUCAAGCCAUGGGAGCCGGGGGCGCCUGAAGUGCGGUACCGCGAGGGCCGCCCAAGGGCGAGACCGGUGACUGGGGCUAAGUCGUAACAAGGUACC